CAUGCAAGCACCUGGCCUCUAUCGGUAUCCACUCAAGCAAGACCUGGAACAUCUUCUCCUCACAAAUCUAUACUCCAAAAAUUAGAUCUCUAUCUGAUUUGAAAGUACUUCAAAACUCCUUCUGAAGUUGGAGCAGCAGCCUGUCGAAGAUGUCCUGCAGCCUUCCUGUUCCAGGCGUCACCAUGCCUUGGACCUUUGCCAGAUGGACGUCCAAUUCCUUGGACAUGAAGAGGGG
RNAcentral lists this long non-coding RNA (235 nucleotides) under Elaeis guineensis (African oil palm). Its description in RNAcentral is "long non-coding RNA (EGUI_LNC056325)". Lineage: Eukaryota; Viridiplantae; Streptophyta; Magnoliopsida; Arecales; Arecaceae. The record is from RNAcentral.